UUCUUUGAGAAGAGAACUUUGAGGCAGGGCAGCUAAACUUGUCCCCAAUACCACAACUGAUAACCCAAGUGAAGUCAUGUCCAGAGCAGUCAAAUCUGGUCCAUGUCCAGGUCUGUCAGAUCCAGGUCUAGGUCUGCCACUGCGUCCAGGCUUAAUCUGCAGUAUGGCUAAUCUUUAAUGGAUUUAAUGCUGCCUGUGAGGAGCUGGGAAUUCUGUGUAAAAAGAAGAAAAUGAUGUUGCUGUUGUUACUUCCCUCAAGAAUGACGUGUCCAUGGGAUAGCAUUUAAUUAUUCCAAAGAAGGAUACACAGCGCGAGGAUGUUAAAAUCAGACUGAGAAUGGUUGUUCCUGUUGUCACUUGGAUGCCCUGGAUAUCCAGUCAGAUCAGAUUCUGGAUGAACUGGAACCACUGAGCCUCACUGUUUUGCCUUCUCCAUCAGACCACACUACAACUGACCUUACAGAGAAAAGGCACCUUUUGCUGCAGCCCAUUGCAGGUUGUGUGCAGACAUUUCUCCACUUUGUAGCUCCAUGAAUGACCUCAGAGGAGGAAGAAGGAAACAGCUUCCAGCAUUACACAGUGUUGGGCCAGCUACACUCAGCAUCUUCUAUGAUCAGACCCUGAUGUGUGAGGAAACGUGAAAUGUGUAAGAGUUGUUCUUUGUUAGAAGCACAGUAUCAUCUGCUUUCACACUAUGAGGAAGAAUGUAAAAACCCAGACAUGUGAGAACCUCAAAAAACUCUUGGGAAGGUGGAAAAAACAUUUUAUAACUUUCUAACUGUGGACUAAAAUAUAUUCCCUUGAAGCAGAGGUAGGGCUAGUCUAGCUACCUUCCUAAGAAAUCAGCACCCUUGUCAUCCUCUAGUAAGGAUGAGGCAUGGCCAUUGGAACAUUCCUCAGUUUGCCCAAGGAUUUAAUUGAUUACUGAAGAGGUACUGCAGUGUCUUGGUGUUAGGCUGUUCUGCUCAUCAAACCCGUUGGGACAGGUUUUGAAAGGUAAG
RNAcentral lists this long non-coding RNA (1001 nucleotides) under Cyanistes caeruleus (blue tit). Its description in RNAcentral is "lncRNA (ENSCCEG00000000174.1)". The record is from RNAcentral. Lineage: Eukaryota; Metazoa; Chordata; Aves; Passeriformes; Paridae.